RNAcentral lists this ribosomal RNA (1018 nucleotides) under uncultured bacterium. RNAcentral's name for it is "bacterial SSU rRNA". It matches the Rfam family "Bacterial small subunit ribosomal RNA", at positions 357 to 1376 of the family's 1533-position model. The record is from RNAcentral.
AGGAAUAUUGGUCAAUGGACGAGAGUCUGAACCAGCCAAGUAGCGUGAAGGAUGAAGGUUCUAUGGAUUGUAAACUUCUUUUAUAAAGGAAUAAAGUCGGGUAUGGAUACCCGUUUGCAUGUACUUUAUGAAUAAGGAUCGGCUAACUCCGUGCCAGCAGCCGCGGUAAUACGGAGGAUCCGAGCGUUAUCCGGAUUUAUUGGGUUUAAAGGGAGCGUAGAUGGAUGUUUAAGUCAGUUGUGAAAGUUUGCGGCUCAACCGUAAAAUUGCAGUUGAUACUGGAUAUCUUGAGUGCAGUUGAGGCAGGCGGAAUUCGUGGUGUAGCGGUGAAAUGCUUAGAUAUCACGAAGAACUCCGAUUGCGAAGGCAGCCUGCUAAGCUGCAACUGACAUUGAGGCUCGAAAGUGUGGGUAUCAAACAGGAUUAGAUACCCUGGUAGUCCACACGGUAAACGAUGAAUACUCGCUGUAGGCGAUAUACAGUCUGCGGCCAAGCGAAAGCAUUAAGUAUUCCACCUGGGGAGUACGCCGGCAACGGUGAAACUCAAAGGAAUUGACGGGGGCCCGCACAAGCGGAGGAACAUGUGGUUUAAUUCGAUGAUACGCGAGGAACCUUACCCGGGCUUAAAUUGCAACCGAAUAUGGCGGAAACGCUAUAGCUAGCAAUAGCGGUUGUGAAGGUGCUGCAUGGUUGUCGUCAGCUCGUGCCGUGAGGUGUCGGCUUAAGUGCCAUAACGAGCGCAACCCUUGCCGAUAGUUACUAACAGGUUAUGCUGAGGACUCUGUCGGGACUGCCAUCGUAAGAUGUGAGGAAGGUGGGGAUGACGUCAAAUCAGCACGGCCCUUACGUCCGGGGCUACACACGUGUUACAAUGGGGGGUACAGAGGGCUGCUACCACGCAAGUGGAUGCCAAUCCCAAAAACCUCUCUCAGUUCGGAUUGAAGUCUGCAACCCGACUUCAUGAAGCUGGAUUCGCUAGUAAUCGCGCAUCAGCCACGGCGCGGUGAAUACGUUCCCG